CCGACCGGCGCACGGGUGAGUAACACGUAUGCAAUCCACCUGUAACAGGGGGGGUAACCCGGAGAAAUCCGGACUAAUACCCCAUAAUAUGGGCUCUCCGCAUGGAGGGUCCAUUAAAGAGAGCAAUUUUGGUUACAGACGAGCAUGCGCUCCAUUAGCCAGUUGGCGGGGUAACGGCCCACCAAAGCGACGAUGGAUAGGGGUUCUGAGAGGAAGGUCCCCCACAUUGGAACUGAGACACGGUCCAA
This 248-nucleotide ribosomal RNA is filed under the name uncultured bacterium. Its description in RNAcentral is "partial 16S ribosomal RNA". It matches the Rfam family "Bacterial small subunit ribosomal RNA", at positions 91 to 334 of the family's 1533-position model. The record is from RNAcentral.